RNAcentral lists this ribosomal RNA (292 nucleotides) under uncultured bacterium. Its description in RNAcentral is "partial 16S ribosomal RNA". It matches the Rfam family "Bacterial small subunit ribosomal RNA", at positions 505 to 796 of the family's 1533-position model. The record is from RNAcentral.
GUGUCAGCAGCCGCGGUAAUACAGAGGUCCCGAGCGUUGUUCGGAUUCACUGGGCGUAAAGGGUGCGUAGGCGGUCUCGAAAGUCUGAUGUGAAAGCCCCGGGCCCAACCCGGGAAUGGCAUCGGAAACUGCGGGGCUAGAGGGUUGGAGGGGGGACUGGAAUUCUCGGUGUAGCAGUGAAAUGCGUAGAGAUCGAGAGGAACACCAGUGGCGAAGGCGAGUCCCUGGACAACCCCUGACGCUGAGGCACGAAAGCUAGGGGAGCAAACAGGAUUAGAUACCCGCGUAGUCC